AGUGAACGCUGGCGGUAGGCCUAAUACAUGCAAGUCGAACGGCAGCACAGUAGGGGCUUCCUCUUGCGUGUGGCGAGUGGCACGGGUGUGGGAUAUACAGCGAUCUGCCCUUUUUCGGGGGGGAAAACGUGGGGACACACACGCAUAUACCACGUACGCCCUGCGGGUAAACCCAGGAGCUCUUCGCACGUCGCGCGUGUGUAUGAGCAUAUGUCGGAUUAGCUAGUUGGCGGGGUAAAGGCCCACCAAGGCGACGAUCCGUAGCUGGUCUGAGAGGAUGAUCAGCCACACUGGAACUGAGACACGGUCCAGACUCCUACGGGAGGCAGCAGUGGGGAAUAUUGGACAAUGGGCGCAAGCCUGAUCCAGCCAUACCGCGUGGGUGAAGAAGGCCUUCGGGUUGUAAAGCCCUUUUGUUGGGAAAGAAAAGCAGCAGGUUAAUACCCCGCUGUUCUGACGGUACCCAAAGAAUAAGCACCGGCUAACUUCGUG
RNAcentral lists this ribosomal RNA (492 nucleotides) under uncultured bacterium. Its description in RNAcentral is "partial 16S ribosomal RNA". It matches the Rfam family "Bacterial small subunit ribosomal RNA", at positions 29 to 507 of the family's 1533-position model. The record is from RNAcentral.